CGUGAAAGGUUGCUGGAAUUUAAAUUAAAUUUAUAAUCAAUGCUAAAAGCUUGUGAAAUACUAGAACUCUUUUCUUAAUAAUCGCACUUUGUCACUUUUGGCCUGGUGAGCUUAAAAGGAGAUAUUGGCAAUUUGUAAAUUUUAUAUACACAGUUAUACAUAUUUUCCUGGAUUGAAAAAAAAACCAAACUAAUCAUAAUGCAUCUCGUUUGAAUUGUUUUAUCAUUUGUAAUUUCGGGGCCUUUCAUAUAGCAGACUAUGCUGCACGAAUUUUACUCAUAGUUGAAAGUCGUAUCAUGACCUUUAUAGAUAUAAGGAGAUAACAUAUGAUUGCCAAUGAGACAACUCUCCAUUAAAGUCAUAAUUUUUAAAGAUAAACCAUUGAAGGUCAAAGUACAGUCUUAUAUGUACCAUUUACUAGUUUUCUGGAUCUUGAGUUGAUUAAGAGAGCAUGAAACUAAAAAGACUCAAUGUGUCAGUGGCAACUCAGGUGCAGAUCCAGAGGGGGGAGGGGGUCUGGGGGUUUGUUGGACGAACAAUGCAUUUGAAUGGGGACAUGUAAUUGGACCCCCCCCCCUUUUGUCCUGGGUUAGGACCCCCUCCCCCUUUUUUAAAAUGGCUGGAUCCGCCCCUGCAACUAUUUGAUACCCUUUGAUAAUUUGAUUCACUUCAUGUCAAACCAC
RNAcentral lists this long non-coding RNA (683 nucleotides) under Mytilus galloprovincialis (Mediterranean mussel). Lineage: Eukaryota; Metazoa; Mollusca; Bivalvia; Mytilida; Mytilidae. The record is from RNAcentral.